GUAGUCCACGCCCUAAACGAUGAAUACUAGGUGUGGGGGGACUGACCCCCUCCGUGCCGGAGUAAACACAAUAAGUAUUCCACCUGGGGAGUACGACCGCAAGGUUGAAACUCAAAGGAAUUGACGGGGGCCCGCACAAGCAGUGGAUUAUGUGGUUUAAUUCGAAGCAACGCGAAGAACCUUACCUGGGCUUGACAUCCAACUAACGAAGCAGAGAUGCAUCAGGUGCCCUUCGGGGAAAGUUGAGACAGGUGGUGCAUGGUUGUCGUCAGCUCGUGUCGUGAGAUGUUGGGUUAAGUCCCGCAACGAGCGCAACCCUUAUUGCUAGUUGCUACGCAAGAGCACUCUAGCGAGACUGCCGUUGACAAAACGGAGGAAGGUGGGGACGACGUCAAAUCAUCAUGCCCCUUAUGUCCAGGGCUACACACGUAAUACAAUGGCGUUCAACAGAGGGAAGCAAAGCUGCAAGGCAGAGCAAAUCCCCAAAAGGCGUCUCAGUUCGGAUCGUGGGCUGCAACCCGCCCGCGUGAAGUCGGAAUUGCUAGUAAUCGCGGAUCAGCAUGCCGCGGUGAAUACGUUCCCGGGCCUUGUACACACCGCCCGUCACACCAUGAGAGUCGGGAACACCCGAAGUCCGUAGUCUAACCGCAAGGAGGGCGCGGCCGAAGGUGGGCUUGAUAAUUGGGGUGA
Molecule: ribosomal RNA, 690 nt
Filed under: uncultured bacterium
Lineage: Bacteria
Description: bacterial SSU rRNA
Rfam family: Bacterial small subunit ribosomal RNA
Source: RNAcentral